This 1461-nucleotide ribosomal RNA is filed under the name Cladosporium sp. CBS 125.88. RNAcentral's name for it is "eukaryotic LSU rRNA". The stretch from base 541 to 1461 matches the Rfam family "Eukaryotic large subunit ribosomal RNA", at positions 1 to 943 of the family's 3401-position model. The record is from RNAcentral. Lineage: Eukaryota; Fungi; Ascomycota; Dothideomycetes; Cladosporiales; Cladosporiaceae.
GGAUCAUUAUCGAGUUAGGGUCCCUAGGGCCCGAACCUCCCAACCCUUUGUUUAUCCAACCUCUGUUGCUUCGGCGGGCCCGUCCAUUAUGGACCGCCGGAGGACCACCGCUCGCGGUGUCCUCUGGCCCGCGUCCGUCGGUAGCCCACGUCUAAACUCUUGUCUAAAACGUGUUUGUCUGCCUAAAUUCAUAACAAAAAUAAAACGCAAAACUUUCAACAACGGAUCUCUUGGUUCUGGCAUCGAUGAAGAACGCAGCGAAAUGCGAUAAGUAAUGCGAAUUGCAGAAUUCCAGUGAGUCAUCGAAUCUUUGAACGCACAUUGCGCCCUUUGGCAUUCCGAAGGGCAUGCCUGUUCGAGCGUCAUUAUCAGCCCUCAAGCCCCGUGCUUGGUGUUGGACGGCUUGGUCGAGUCUCCCCUCGACCCGUCCCAAAGACAAUGACGGCGGUUGAUGGUCCCCCGGCACACUGAGCGUUUUACGCACGUGUUGGAUAAGGGUGCCCCAGCUCCGGUCUCCUCCUUCAGUGGAAAUUUUAAGGUUGACCUCGGAUCAGGUAGGAAUACGCGCUGAACUUAAGCAUAUCAAUAAGCGCAGGAAAAGAAACCAACAGGGAUUGCCUCAGUAACGGCGAGUGAAGCGGCAACAGCUCAAAUUUGAAAUCUGGCCUCUCGGGGUCCGAGUUGUAAUUUGUAGAGGAUGUUUUGGGCACCGCCUCGGUCUAAAUUUCUUGGAACAGAAUGUCAAAGAGGGUGAGAAUCCCGUCUUGGAUCGGCGGUAGGGCCUGUGUAAAACUCCUUCGACGAGUCGAGUUGUUUGGGAAUGCAGCUCAAAAUGGGUGGUAAAUUUCAUCUAAAGCUAAAUAUUGGCCAGAGACCGAUAGCGCACAAGUAGAGUGAUCGAAAGAUGAAAAGCACUUUGAAAAGAGAGUUAAACAGUAUGUGAAAUUGUUGAAAGGGAAGCGCUUGCAACCAGACUUGUGCGCGGUGGUUCCCCUCGCCUUUUGGCUAGGGUACUCCGCCGCGUCCAGGCCAACAUCGGUUUUGGGGGUCAGUUAAAGGCCUUGGGAAUGUACCUACCUACGGGUAGACUUAUAGACCAGGGUGCCAUGUGACCUCCCGGGACCGAGGAACGCGCUUCGGCUCGGAUGUUGGCGUAAUGGUUGUCAGCGACCCGUCUUGAAACACGGACCAAGGAGUCUAACAUCUAUGCGAGUGUUUGGGUGUCAAACCCGGAACGCGAAAUGAAAGUGAACGGAGGUAGGAAGCUUCGGCUGCACUAUCGACCGAUCCUGAAGUUUACGGAUGGAUUUGAGUAAGAGCAUAGCUGUUGGGACCCGAAAGAUGGUGAACUAUGCCUGAAUAGGGUGAAGCCAGAGGAAACUCUGGUGGAGGCUCGCAGCGGUUCUGACGUGCAAAUCGAUCGUCAAAUUUGGGUAUAGGGCGAAAGACCAAUCGAACCAU